This 361-nucleotide ribosomal RNA is filed under the name uncultured Actinomycetes bacterium. RNAcentral describes it as "bacterial SSU rRNA". It matches the Rfam family "Bacterial small subunit ribosomal RNA", at positions 430 to 803 of the family's 1533-position model. The record is from RNAcentral. Lineage: Bacteria; Bacillati; Actinomycetota; Actinomycetes.
CCGCUUUCAGCAGGGAAGAAGCGAAAGUGACGGUACCUGCAGAAGAAGCACCGGCUAACUAUGUGCCAGCAGCCGCGGUAAUACAUAGGGUGCAAGCGUUGUCCGGAAUUAUUGGGCGUAAAGAGCUCGUAGGUGGUUCGUCACGUCGGAUGUGAAACUCUGGGGCUUAACCCCAGACCUGCAUUCNAUACGGGCGAGCUUGAGUAUGGUAGGGGAGUCUGGAAUUCCUGGUGUAGCGGUGGAAUGCGCANAUAUCAGGAGGAACACCAAUGGCGAAGGCAGGACUCUGGGCCAUUACUGACACUGAGGAGCGAAAGCGUGGGGAGCGAACAGGAUUAGAUACCCUGGUAGUCCACGCCGU